GUAUCAAUGAUGAGUAUAAUUGACCUCAUUGAAAAUUCUGAAUAAAAUGAGUUAUGCAGUUGCAUCUUUCAAACUGAGGUCC
Small nucleolar RNA from Hyaena hyaena (striped hyena), 82 nucleotides. RefSeq annotates it as small nucleolar RNA SNORD116. The record is from RefSeq and is a predicted model, not a curated record. The transcript has a single exon. Lineage: Eukaryota; Metazoa; Chordata; Mammalia; Carnivora; Hyaenidae.